CAGAAAUUAAGAUUGGACGUUCACAAUGCAACAUCGUAAUGAGCAGAAUAAAGCCUUGGUUGCUCCUAAAGCCACCUAGUAAGCAGAAAAAACUGGUCAUCCGAGAAGAACCUUCUGUUGCAAAGCCAAAAUCUACUGAUGACAGUAAGACCAUCGUAUGGACAUGUAAUUUGUCAACUUCGGAGUUUACAAUAAUGCUUUUCAAUAUGGCUGCUUCUCCACUAUAUAAUGUUUGCUUAAAAUCAACACAUGUAACUGCAAACAACACUUCGAAGAUGGGAACUGCAGUG
This 290-nucleotide small RNA is filed under the name Vigna angularis var. angularis. RNAcentral's name for it is "Non-protein coding transcript". Lineage: Eukaryota; Viridiplantae; Streptophyta; Magnoliopsida; Fabales; Fabaceae. The record is from RNAcentral.